RNAcentral lists this ribosomal RNA (842 nucleotides) under Cetrelia pseudolivetorum. Its description in RNAcentral is "eukaryotic LSU rRNA". It matches the Rfam family "Eukaryotic large subunit ribosomal RNA", at positions 71 to 929 of the family's 3401-position model. Lineage: Eukaryota; Fungi; Ascomycota; Lecanoromycetes; Lecanorales; Parmeliaceae. The record is from RNAcentral.
GGGAUUGCCUCAGUAACGGCGAGUGAAGCGGCAACAGCUCAAAUUUGAAAUCUGGUCUUCCGGGGCCCGAGUUGUAAUUUGUAGAGAGUGCUUCGGGCGAGACCAUGGUCUAAGUUCAUUGGAACAUGGCGUCAUAGAGGGUGAGAAUCCCGUAUGUGACUGUGGCUCGAGCCCAUGUGAAGCCUCUUCGACGAGUCGAGUUGUUUGGGAAUGCAGCUCAAAAUGGGUGGUAAAUUUCAUCUAAAGCUAAAUACUGGCUGGAGACCGAUAGCGCACAAGUAGAGUGAUCGAAAGAUGAAAAGCACUUUGGAAAGAGAGUCAAACAGUACGUGAAAUUGUUGAAAGGGAAGCGCUUGCAACCAGACCUGCCCGUGGGUGAUCAGCCGCUGUUCUCAGCGGUGCACUCGCUCCACGAUCAGGCCAGCAUCGGUUUCGGCGGUCGGAUAAAGGCCUUGGGAAUGUAGCUUCCCUUCGGGGGAGUCUUAGAGCCCUCGGUGCAAUGCGGCCAGCCGGGACCGAGGACCGCGCUUCGGCUAGGAUGCUGGCGUAAUGGUUGCAAGCGACCCGUCUUGAAACACGGACCAAGGAGUCUAACAUCUAUGCGAGUGUUUGGGUGUCAAACCCAUGCGCGGAAUGAAAGUGAACGGAGGUGAGAACCCUUAAGGGCGCAUCAUCGACCGAUCCAGAUGUCCUCGGAUGGAUUUGAGUAUGAGCAUAGCUGUUGGGACCCGAAAGAUGGUGAACUAUGCCUGAAUAGGGUGAAGCCAGAGGAAACUCUGGUGGAGGCUCGCAGCGGUUCUGACGUGCAAAUCGAUCGUCGAAUUUGGGUAUAGGGGCGAAAG